RNAcentral lists this non-coding RNA (117 nucleotides) under Pan troglodytes (chimpanzee). The record is from Rfam by way of RNAcentral. Lineage: Eukaryota; Metazoa; Chordata; Mammalia; Primates; Hominidae.
GCUGGGCGUGGUGGCUCACACCUGUAAUCCCAGCACCUUGGGAAGCUGAGGCAGGUGGAUCACCUGAGGUCAGGAGUUCGAGACCAGCCUGACCAACAUGGCGAAACCCUGUCUCUA